RNAcentral lists this long non-coding RNA (1341 nucleotides) under Heterocephalus glaber (naked mole-rat). Its description in RNAcentral is "lncRNA (ENSHGLG00000037433.1)". The record is from RNAcentral. Lineage: Eukaryota; Metazoa; Chordata; Mammalia; Rodentia; Bathyergidae.
CGCGGCUGCAGGACCGCGGCCGAACGGUAGAGGCCUCCCUUCCGAGGAGGUAGCGCGGACUUCUCUGGCUGGGGCACUCCUCCCGGUCUCGUCCAUCCCAGCGAGGUCCCGGCGCGGCCGGGCCCAACGCGGCCCUUCCCCACCUGUUCUCCUCCCCCUGCAGCCGGCAGCUCCUGUUUUCUGAGGCACUAUUUUCAAUACCCACAGCACAUCUGGUUUAAAGACUUAGAGGGGGCAAGUCAUCUUCCUAUCCAUUGCACUGAAGAAGGAGGUCCUUUCAAGCACGGAUCGCAGUGCCCAGUGGUCAAUACCCUUACUUUUAUCCAGUGUCUGCUUCAUUUAAACUUAAUCAACUCCAUCAAUGAACUGGAACAGGGAAACGUCCCUACGGCUUCUAAUGUGAGGAAAAACACUGAAUGACAAGUGUGGGAAAGAGCAAGCACUAAAUUACUGUCAGAAAAAUAAACGGAGUAGCACAGUGGUGCUCAGUGAUUUACGGGGGCAAUUAGUCACCACCCCACGGCGCUGCUGAGGACAGCACAGCAGCAGACUCGUCAGGCCCACGAGGAAGAAGAGGCUUUGCAUUGCUCUCCAGACAACUUUUCAAACAACAAACAACAAGAAUCUGAGCACAUUAGGUUCCAUGUCUUCAGUCUGGACAACCACCCUUCAUAUUUUUCUUCCAACUUGAUACAUAAGUGUGGCUUUAGCACGAUAUUAACCUGUUCUGUGUUAAAAAGAUUCUAACUGCAACUUUUUUCUUGCCCAUUCUCCAAAGUGGGUUCUUUCCCAUCCCUAAAAAACAAAAAACGCUUCUUGCUCCCGUCAUCCCCCUAGUAUAUGGCGCCAGUCUGUCUCAUUCUUCUUGCAUCUUGCUACCUGUGUUAUACAUUUGUGCAGAGGCACUGACUGCUAAGAAAUUUUAUCUGCAAAUCUUCUGCAGAAGUUUGUAAGCUGGUAUGAGGAAGUGAGAAGGAAUGCAAAACAUAGGGUCAAUGAAGACCAUGAACUUCUCCAUAUAAGUUAAUAUGUUCUUUAACAUACUCUCUGUAGUGUUUGUAUAUGUAACACAGGAAAAUAAACCUACUCAGGGAGAAUUAAUUGGUGUUCAUUCCUUAAUAAAUAUAUAAAUAUAUAAAUAUAUGAAUAUCCAUCAGAAGAAACCAGAAAGGAAGGUUGGGAAGAACCCAGGAAAGACAAAGAAUAUAUUGAUUAAAUGCCGCUGAAUGAAUAAAUGAAAUUAAUCAAGAGUUUAGUAUCCUUGUGGUGGGCCAGAGAUUUAGCUCAGUGGUUUCGCCACCUGCUGUGCAAGCGCAAGGAUCGAAGUUUGAUCCCCAGUAC